Long non-coding RNA from Columba livia (rock pigeon), 744 nucleotides. RefSeq lists it as uncharacterized. The record is from RefSeq and is a predicted model, not a curated record. The transcript is spliced from 2 exons. NCBI's taxonomy places the organism in Eukaryota, Metazoa, Chordata, Aves, Columbiformes, Columbidae.
GAGAAGGCAAGGAGACUCCUGCGAGAUCUGAAGGGCCUUGGGGUUGAGAGGGGAGUUUUUGAAGAAGGAGCAGAGAAGACUUUCACCAUAGGGAAAGAGUGUGAGCAGGCAGGAGCCGUACUGAAGAAAGAGACUUUGCUUUCCCUGGAUCUCCCAAGAUCUACAGGAUCUUUCUUGAUGGUUGUAAAAGGACCACAGGGGAUGCAAACCCACCAGGACACUAGUGAAAAUGCCGAGGGGAUGGAGGACAAGUGUUGGAGACUCACCACCAAGCAGUACCUGAGUGUUUCUGUCAAACUCUCACUCAUCUUGAAAUGAGCUUAGCCAGUUUGUUAUAGGAAGAAAAAAGGCUUAUGCAUCUAAGACACUACAUCUGGAGUCAAAGCCACCUUUCCCCACUCCUGUGACUUCAGACAAGUAACAUAUCUUUCCCUUGCUCCACUCUUAGACAAAAUAAGAACAACAAAAUUUGCCUGUGAUUUGUCUCUGCCCGAAGUUAAGUCAAGACCAUCUCAGCUGGAGUCAAUGGUUUUGCAAGGAUGUGAAAACAGGUGAAAUAUAAUGAUCGGUUACAAGUCUAAUUAGGGUUAAGGUAUCCCUGGCUGUGCUUACACCUCGCUGUGUAUAUAAUACCUGACACACUACAUCACAGUCUCGGCUGGAGUCAUUAGAUGGUCGUAAUUAAUUAACAUGGCUGUGUUUACUGUUUUCCAUAUAUAACAUUAAACUCUCCUAAUAGCAGAA